AUGCUACCCACGGCAGGGCAGUCUGGUCUUGUUGUGGACUGGGUUUGUGUGGUGCAGAGCAGAGGAGUGAAUGAGAGCAUGAGCUCCAGGCAAUUGGUUGCCGGCUCACAUCAAGGUUUGGAUAUAAAACCUGAGAUAUCAAAGACCUGGAUUCAAGCAAUUGGGUUUUACAUAUUCUGCACUGUUGUUCUUCAGCUAGCUGUUGAGAAAGCUGCCCGUUUCUUCAGUUGUCAGCUUCUUUCUCAAAAUCCAGCAGCCUCCUUCAGUUCUCCCCGCGCCGUCGCGCUCGACCCCUCUGCCCCAUCUACCCGAGCCGCCGCCUGCACAGACGCUCCGGCCCAGCGCCCGCAGACGAGCCUGCCGACUCGCCUCGUCCGUCCCGUCCCCCCGUCCNNNNNNNNNNNNNNNNNNNNNGUCCCCGCAUCGGAGAUUGAGAUCGUCGCCGUCUCGCGUGCUCAGCCACUGGUUCGAUCUUCUAGCUCCCAAUCCUCGGGGGAUGUUAUGGUGAAGCCCUCCAUACAAUUGCAAUAUGGAAGCUCAUUAUCAUUGCAAAUUGUGAAAGGUCCACAGAUUGCAUAG
RNAcentral lists this ribosomal RNA (579 nucleotides) under Triticum aestivum (bread wheat). Its description in RNAcentral is "partial small subunit ribosomal RNA". Lineage: Eukaryota; Viridiplantae; Streptophyta; Magnoliopsida; Poales; Poaceae. The record is from RNAcentral.